RNAcentral lists this long non-coding RNA (6381 nucleotides) under Malus domestica (apple). Its description in RNAcentral is "long non-coding RNA (MDOM_LNC011574)". Lineage: Eukaryota; Viridiplantae; Streptophyta; Magnoliopsida; Rosales; Rosaceae. The record is from RNAcentral.
UUGGAGUAAAAUCCGGUUCUCACAAGGUUUUGUGGUCUCACAAUCAUUGUACGUUACUUGAGGAUCAAGUUAUAGGAUUAGGGAAUGAACUUGGACUUUACCGGUUGCAAAAGGAAUGUAAUAUUAAGUUGUUAUUCUUGCUAAAGGGGUUCCUAAUCCUGAUUGGUUAAGGAGAUAUAGACAUAUUCAGUUACCUAUUAGGUCUCAAUGAUGGGCUAAGCCUAUUAGGUUAAUAUGCCUAUAUAAGUGAAGGUCCCUGCGUUUGCUGAGAUACGCAAUAUUCACAAACUCCCCAUACGGUUUGAUUGCUAAGGAUCAGUACAACGUAGAAGACUCUUUGCACACCAAGGUUUCACGCAUGGCGUCUCCAGGUUAGUUACUUAUAUGUGUUUUAAUCUAUAUAGGCUAAUAUAGUUUUACAUGUGGUAUCAGAGCAUAGCUUGUAUGAUUAAGACCUUAAAAGAAAAUUAAAUUAGAAAACUCGGUAAAGUUCCUUUUCUGUCGUUCAUCAUGUUAUAGUUUAUAGUUUUCUGGUUCAGUUUUUUGCCUUAAAAUAAUUACGCAUGAUGGCUGCUAUAUUUUUCAAUUAUCUGGCAUUCAAAGUGGAUGAUGGGUUUACAUUAUUAUAUUGUUGUGCAUGGAUGCCGUGUUAAUUAACGUAUUGCCAAUAUAAGGACUAAUUGAAAGACAUUGAAACUGGACAUAUAUUUGCAUGAUGGAUUGUUUCCAGGUUCUAGAAAGACAUGUCUGAUGUAAAGAUUAAUAAUCUGACAUGCAUAAAGUAAUAUAUGAUCAAGUUUUUAGGUAUCACUUGGUUGAUAUCGAUUAAAGCAAGCCGUAGCGGCUUAAUUGAUUUUGAGUGGUCUCUAAAUCCAAAGUCCUAUUGAUCAAAUUGUGUUGUUUAAUUAUAACGAUUAUGAUAAUCUUCUUGCUCGUAAGUGUGGAUUAUUUUAAUUGGUUCAAUUAGACAAUAGCAUGGUAUGGAAUAUAUACUGUAAGAAUUUGUGGAAGGUUUUCUUCUUGCUCGUAAGUGUGGAAAAUUUUUCAUGAAAGUAAUUCUUAUAACUAUGUAUUUUAGUGCCACAUACAUAUUAACUUUCUUGCCCGUAGGUGUAAGUUAAUUAUGUUUUGAAGUUUAUGGGGAUUAAGUAUGUAUUGUUUGUUUAAAUCUUCAGCUGUCAAUGCUUCUUUGAAUUUCAAUUCAAUCCAAGCUUUAACUGGGACCAACUAUAAAAAGUGGAAGCAAGACAUAGAGAUUAUUCUAGGACUCAUGGACUUAGAUGUUGCUUUGAGAGAGGAAGAACCAGAUGUUCCUGAAGAGGACGACUCGACUAAGAUUAAAAACAAGUAUGAAAAGUGGCAUAAGGCAAAUAGGAUGGCAAUUCUCAUUAUGAAAAGGGCAAUGUCUGACACUGUGAGAGGUGGUAUUGCUGAUACGGAUAGUGCUAAGGAAUUUUUGGCAUCAAUUGAAGCUAAGUUCAAGGAAUCCGACAAAGCUGAAACCGGAAACCUUAUGAACUCAUUGAUGACAACCAAGUUUGUCGAUGGAAGUGUGAGGGAGCACAUAUUGGGGCUGAUUGAUAUUGCUACUAAGUUAAAUGCUUUGGAUGUUGCAAUUAGUGAUCCAUUCUUGGUUCAUGUGGCUCUCAACUCUUUGCCUUCGGAGUACUCUCAACUGAAAAGCACCUAUAAUGCUCAAAAGGAAAAGUGGGAUCUCAAUGAGCUUAUAGCUAUUUGUGUUCACGAAGAGCAGAACAUAAGACAUGACAAGAGCAUGGUCGCUAAUUUAGUCCACACCCAUGCUAAGAAUUCAGUCAAGGAGAUUUCCAAAAACCCCUCCUACAAACCUAAAGGGUCUAACAACUUCAAGGCAGCAACCAAGCCAAAUGGUUUGAAGUGUUUUUUCUGUAAGAAGUUUGCUGGACAUUUGAAAAAGGAUUGCCCAAAGUAUAGGCGUUGGUUGGAGAAACAAAAGGCUAAAGGUAAGAACAUUGUGUUUGUUUGCUUUGAAACUAGUUUGGUUGAUGUUCCUUCUGAUACAUGGUGGCUUGAUAGUGGUGCUUCUGUGCAUAUUACAAAUACCUUGCAGGGGUUCAUAAGCAAGAGGGUGCCAAACAAGGAUGAAGUAAGCGUGUUCGUAGGUACCGGUGGAGUUCAUUGGAGUAGUUCGACUUGUUUUGGAUUCUGGUUUUGUUUUAGAUUUAGAAGAUGUUAUUUAUGUACCUUCAAUGAGAAGGAAUUUGGUUUCCGUUGGCAAACUCAUCAAGAAUAAAAUUUUUCCUAGUUUUAAUGAAGAUGGCUUCGAUAUUAAUCACAAGUUGAAUUUCGUUGGCAGUGGUCUAUUUGGUGAUGGUUUAUUUAAACUAAAUUGCAAGGUUCCAUUUGUCUCCAUGAACACCGUAGGAGUUAAGAGAAGGAUUUCAACCAAUGAAACUUCAUCCAAGUUAUGGCACAAACGGUUAGGACAUAUAUCAAAGGAACGAAUGCAAACUUUAACAAAAACUGAAAUUUUGCCACCACUUGAUUAUCAAGACAUGGAUGUUUGUGUUGAAUGUAUAAAAGGAAAAAUGGUUAACACCAAAAAGAAGGGUGCAAUUAGAAGCCAAAAUCUGCUGGAACUUAUUCACACCGACAUUUGCGGUCCAUUUCCCACACCAACACAUGAUGGUUUUAAAUAUUUCAUCACCUUCAUUGAUGACUAUUCAAGGUAUGGCUACUUAUAUCUUUUGGCUGAAAAAUCUGCUGCUUUUGAAGCUUUUAAAAUAUAUAAAGCUGAAGUGGAAAACAAAUUGGACUUAAAGAUCAAAGUUGUUAGAUCCGAUAGAGGCGGGGAAUACUAUGGCAAGUAUGAUGAAGCUGGUCGUCGUCCUGGACCUUUUGCACUGUUUUUGGAAAAGAAUGGCAUUGUAGCACAGUACACUAAUCCUGGAACACCUGAACAGAAUGGAGUUUCGGAAAGACGAAAUAGAACUCUUAAAGAUAUGGUGAGGAGUAUGAUGUGCUGCACAAAGUUGCCAAUGUUUUUGUGGGGUGAUGCUAUAAAGACAGCAAACUACAUCUUAAAUAGAGCUCCUAGCAAAUCUGUUCCAAGCACUCCAUAUGAAUUAUGGUACAAGAAGAAACCGAGUGUAUUUCAUCUCAAAGUUUGGGGUUGCAAGGCAGAAGCAAGAGCUUAUAAUCCAUUGGAGAAAAAGUUAGACCCAAGAACCAUUAGUUGUUUUUUCAUUGGAUAUCCCGAAAGGAGCAAAGGUUAUCGGUUUUAUUGUCCAAAUCACACCACAAGAAUUAUUGAAACUGGGAGAGCUAAGUUUAUAGAAGAGUCGGUUGGUGAUUUAGAGGUUGAAAGCUUUAGCUUUGAAAAGGAAAAGGAAUUAAAUAAUGAACAAGGACCUGUUGUACAAGAAGAUGUUGUGGUUAACUUUACCAUGGCAGCAAGUGAUGAAAGUCCAUCUCUUAAUGCUCACGUGGAAAGUGAGCAGCAAGAAAUUGUACAUGAUCACCAUGAUAUACCAAUCCAAGUGAGUGAGCCCAUAGUCCCUGCUAGUAAUACCGAUGACCAAAACCAAGUCCUUUUAAGAAAAUCCCAAAGAAUUAGAAGGCAUGCAAUAUCGGAUGAUUUUAUUUGUUAUCUACAAGAAUCUGAAUUUAAUCUAGGAGAGGUUGAUGAUCCAAUUACAUUCAAGGAGGCCGUGACUAGUUCUCAAAAUGAAGAGUGGUUGAAAGCCAUGAAGUCUGAGCUUGAAUCAAUGAGUAAGAAUGGAGUUUGGGAGCUAGUACAAUUACCAAAGGGGUGCAAGGCUAUAGGAUGUAAGUGGGUAUUCAAAACCAAAAGAGAUUCUAAGGGAGAUAUAGAGCGAUAUAAGGCUAGAUUAGUAGCCAAAGGGUUCACUCAAAAGGAAGGAAUUGACUACAAUGAGACAUUUUCUCCCGUUUCUACCAAAGAUUCAUUUAGGGUCAUAAUGGCACUUGUAGCUCACUUCGACUUGUUUCUACACCAAAUGGAUGUAAAAACUGCAUUCUUGAAUGGUGUUUUGGAUGAAGAAAUUUUCAUGAAGCAACCGGAAGGGUUCAUUCAAGAAGGGAGAGAGAAUUUAGUGUGUAAGCUCAAGAAAUCCAUUUAUGGUUUGAAACAAGCCUCAAGACAAUGGUACUUGAAGUUUGAUCAAGUUAUACAAGAUUAUGGUUUCAUUGAGAACCCGUCCGAUGAGUGCAUAUAUCUAAAAUUCAGUGGGAGGCAUUUUGUAAUCUUGGUACUUUAUGUAGAUGAUAUCUUGCUAGCUAGCACAAAUCUUACCCUACUCCAUGAGACAAAGCUUUUCUUGUCUAAUAGAUUUGAGAUGAAGGAUAUGGGAGAGGCUUCUUACGUCUUGGGGAUAGAAAUUAUCAGAGAUAGGAAGAAUAAAAUACUUGGCUUAUCUCAAAAGACUUAUGUUGAACGAGUUUUGAAAAGGUUCGAGAUGCAGGAUUGCAAUGGUUGUGACAUUCCCAUGGCAAAGGCAGAUAAGCUAAGUAAAUCCCAAUGCCCUAAAACUGAAACUGAAAGGGUAGAGAUGGCUGGAAGACCCUAUGCUUCUCUUAUUGGCAGCCUCAUGUACGCACAAGUGUGCACUAGACCCGACAUCGCUCAAGCAAUUGGUGUUUUGUCUAGAUAUCAAUCUAAUCCAGGUUUUGCUCAUUGGAUGGCUGCAAAGAGAGUCAUGAGAUAUUUGAAAAGGACUAAGACUUAUAAACUCUGCUAUAGAAGGACCAAUAAUCUCGAGUUGAUUGGCUACUCGGAUUCGGAUUUUGCGGGGUGUGCAGAUUCUCUCAAGUCUACUUCCAGCUACGUUUUCAUGCUCGCUGGGGGAGCAGUGUCUUGGAAAAGUGCAAAACAAGGGGAAGUUGCAACGUCUACAAUGCAGGCUGAAUAUGUAGCUUGUUAUGAAGCCACUUCACAAGCUGUGUGGUUGAAGAACUUCAUAUCUAGCAUGAAUGUUGUUGAAUCGAUUGCUAGGCCAAUUCAGUUAUUGUGUGAUAACAAAGCUGCUGUUUUCCAUGCUUGGAACAACAAAAGGUCUAAUGGAACUAGACAUUUGGAUCUCAAGUAUAAGAUGAUUCGCAAGGAAGUCAAGAAGCAGCAAAUUAAAAUUGAUUACAUUGAUACUAAGUCAAUGUUGGCGGAUCCACUCAACAAAGCUCUUCCUAAUGCAGCGUUCCAUGUGCAUGUGAAAAACAUGGGCUUAGUUUUCGAUUUUGAUGCACUGAAUUAGUGGGAGAUUCAUUUAUUUUAGUUAGUUCCCUUGCAUUGAUUCUGGAGUUAAGUCACUAAAACUAUUAGUUUUGGUUGGUUCGUGAGUUUGGAUUAUAAAGUUUGAAGCAUUUUCAGUUAUUUUUAUUAUGAACUUGUUGAUUGUUUUAUAUAUUUGUGUGGCUGUUUGAAUGCAGCUAUGAAGUAAAAAGUAAAGUUAAUGCUUUAAAGUCACAAGCAUUUACAAGAUGAUAUGAAGAAUGUUUUCAGAUACUGUUUUCAUUAAGAGUAGAAAAUUAAGGUGUUCUGAUACAGUUACACCAGUCAUCAUGCUAGAACUGACUGGGUUUUGGACAUAAGGUUUCAGUCGUUAUUCUUCAUUCUUUUAAUAGUUUUGGAGGGCUUCGAUUGAAGCAUUAAGCAGACUUUCAUGGUUUGAUCAAGGAGGACCUUAGAAAUUAAAAUAUCAAUAUAUUACAUCAAGUCUGAUAUUUAUAUUUCGAUUUUCUCACUUAUUGAUGUUUCAUGUGAUGAACCAUGCUCACAUAUGUGAUUAUGAAGACUAUGGACGUUGCCCUUGUCCAGUAGACUUGUUAGUUCUAUGUGAUUGUGCUAAUUGACAGAAGCUAUAAGGAACUUUGAGUUUAAGUGAUUUCCAUGGCCACUAAAGUAAUCCUGAUUUGUUUUCUCUUAAGUUAAGUUUCAUACAAUGCUUGUUUCAACCAAGUGGGAGAAUGUUGGAGUAAAAUCCGGUUCUCACAAGGUUUUGUGGUCUCACAAUCAUUGUACGUUACUUGAGGAUCAAGUUAUAGGAUUAGGGAAUGAACUUGGACUUUACCGGUUGCAAAAGGAAUGUAAUAUUAAGUUGUUAUUCUUGCUAAAGGGGUUCCUAAUCCUGAUUGGUUAAGGAGAUAUAGACAUAUUCAGUUACCUAUUAGGUCUCAAUGAUGGGCUAAGCCUAUUAGGUUAAUAUGCCUAUAUAAGUGAAGGUCCCUGCGUUUGCUGAGAUACGCAAUAUUCACAAACUCCCCAUACGGUUUGAUUGCUAAGGAUCAGUACAACGUAGAAGACUCUUUGCACACCAAGGUUUCACGCAUGGCGUCUCCAGGUUAGUUACUUAUAUGUGUUUUAAUCUAUAUAGGCUAAUAUAGUUU